Aedes aegypti (yellow fever mosquito) is the source of this 873-nucleotide long non-coding RNA. RefSeq lists it as uncharacterized. The record is from RefSeq and is a predicted model, not a curated record. NCBI's taxonomy places the organism in Eukaryota, Metazoa, Arthropoda, Insecta, Diptera, Culicidae. The transcript is spliced from 3 exons.
AUCAUGAUUGCAAUCUCACUCGGAAAAUCGAACCAACAGUUUUCCGCCUUUAUCAGUCCAUUUACCAUAUCGGAUGUAGUGCUAUUACAAAUCGCUCCUAUUCUACAUAUGUCGUUCCGCAGAUUUAUGGCCCGGGAAGCCGGAACCGGAAGGCGGACGAGAGCUGUGUGGUUAUUGGAACGUGCUGGUGCGUCGAUUACUACGCGUGAUUGUUGUUUGUUCAUUUGAUUAGAAUAAAUUCGUUUCGAUUGUGCACUUUUAUUUUCCUCGUGUCAAAGAUAAGCACUCGAGCAAUUAUUGCAACUGAACAGAUCGAUUUGAUAACGGAACCAUUGAAAGGAUACGCAAUUGAAGCUCCGAUGGUGCGUUCAGUUAUGUGCUUGAUCUCGGUUCGACAGGAAUCGCCCAUUUCCGGAGGUGAAUUCGUGAAAGGUCAGGGCUUUUGAAGUUUAAAUGCGUGGAAUAAUGGGUAAGAAGUCCUUCGAUAUCAGUGUACCGCAUCAGGAUGAAAAAUUGCCAAAAAGUGUUUCAAAGUGGAGUUUGAAGAACAGGAAGAAACGUUGGCUUCCGAUCUUAUUUUGUGCUAUUUGCUUUUCCCUGCUGAUUGGAUGGGUCAUCAGGGAUAUCUUUAACGGCCAUGCAGAUGGGUUUAACGCAACUGGUGAAAAUGAAACGGUUGCAGAAGCAAUGGAAUUCGAUAAUCUUGAGCAGACUAGUGGAAGAAAACCUGCGUUACCAAUACCCGAUGAUCCUCACUGUUCGAUGGAAGCAGAUUGCACAAUCGUAUGCAAGGACAUGAAUGUGCUAGAUUUGUCAGCGGCAGUUACUAAAACGUUGGAAGUGAGUAAUUUAUUGUUUUUGUAUACAUUAUUU